RNAcentral lists this non-coding RNA (31 nucleotides) under Mus musculus (house mouse). The record is from RNAcentral. Lineage: Eukaryota; Metazoa; Chordata; Mammalia; Rodentia; Muridae.
UGAAGGCCGAGUCAAACUAACAGGUGGCAGU